Molecule: long non-coding RNA, 334 nt
Filed under: Cyanistes caeruleus (blue tit)
Lineage: Eukaryota; Metazoa; Chordata; Aves; Passeriformes; Paridae
Description: lncRNA (ENSCCEG00000001595.1)
Source: RNAcentral
CAUCCAUUCAUUUUCACACUAGGAUGUGCAUUUAUAUAAACAUGGCCUUUGAGAUGGUAAAAUGAAACAGAGAAUAUAUUUUCCUUAAUGGAGAAAAAAGAGGAAAAAUGACUGGAAAAGGUUUUUGCUGCUUCUGCUAAAAUUGCUCCAAGAUGCCAGCAUUCAAUCAAGACAUGAAAUUUACUUUCCGAGUCAGAGACCUGUGAAAUUUGAAUCAAAUUCUUCAAAAGUGUCAUUCUGGGUAAAUAUUCAUGAAACAUACCUGAAGAAACUAUCGUCACUCCUUCAGGAGUUUCAUCAGCAAGAGAAGGUGUUUCACUGCAGAAGUUUUCUU